This is a small nuclear RNA of Choloepus didactylus (southern two-toed sloth), 107 nucleotides long. The record is from RefSeq and is a predicted model, not a curated record. NCBI's taxonomy places the organism in Eukaryota, Metazoa, Chordata, Mammalia, Pilosa, Megalonychidae.
GUGCUCACUUCAGCCGCACAAAUACUAAAAUUGGAAUGAUACAGACAAGAUUAGCAUAGCCCCUGCACAAGGAUGACACGCAAAUUCAUGAAGUGUUCCAUACUUUU